AUUUAAAAAACAAACAAAAAAGAAACAAAAAAAACCAACAGCAUAAAAUAAUGGAUUUCAAGACUGAACUUGAUGGACUUACGUCUUUUUCAACCUAGACAGCUAUGUAACUAUUCAUAUUGCAACUAAACUAGGAAUUCUCUAGGAAAUACCAAUAAAACUCACUUUAUAAAAAAUAUGUUUUAUUUUGUAGUAGAAUGGUCGGUAGUUAUUAGUUAAUAUACAAUGAGGGAAAAAAAGUAUUUG
Molecule: non-coding RNA, 246 nt
Organism: Pelobates cultripes (western spadefoot toad)
Lineage: Eukaryota; Metazoa; Chordata; Amphibia; Anura; Pelobatidae
Source: the annotation of a GenBank genome assembly